Molecule: ribosomal RNA, 542 nt
Filed under: Klebsiella pneumoniae
Lineage: Bacteria; Pseudomonadati; Pseudomonadota; Gammaproteobacteria; Enterobacterales; Enterobacteriaceae
Description: bacterial SSU rRNA
Rfam family: Bacterial small subunit ribosomal RNA
Source: RNAcentral
CAGAGAUGCUUUGGUGCCUUCGGGAACUGUGAGACAGGUGCUGCAUGGCUGUCGUCAGCUCGUGUUGUGAAAUGUUGGGUUAAGUCCCGCAACGAGCGCAACCCUUAUCCUUUGUUGCCAGCGGUCCGGCCGGGAACUCAAAGGAGACUGCCAGUGAUAAACUGGAGGAAGGUGGGGAUGACGUCAAGUCAUCAUGGCCCUUACGACCAGGGCUACACACGUGCUACAAUGGCAUAUACAAAGAGAAGCGACCUCGCGAGAGCAAGCGGACCUCAUAAAGUAUGUCGUAGUCCGGAUUGGAGUCUGCAACUCGACUCCAUGAAGUCGGAAUCGCUAGUAAUCGUAGAUCAGAAUGCUACGGUGAAUACGUUCCCGGGCCUUGUACACACCGCCCGUCACACCAUGGGAGUGGGUUGCAAAAGAAGUAGGUAGCUUAACCUUCGGGAGGGCGCUUACCACUUUGUGAUUCAUGACUGGGGUGAAGUCGUAACAAGGUAACCGUAGGGGAACCUGCGGUUGGAUCACCUCCUUACCUUAAAGAA